This 253-nucleotide ribosomal RNA is filed under the name uncultured bacterium. RNAcentral's name for it is "partial 16S ribosomal RNA". It matches the Rfam family "Bacterial small subunit ribosomal RNA", at positions 524 to 776 of the family's 1533-position model. The record is from RNAcentral.
UACAGAGGGUGCGAGCGUUGUCCGGAAUCACUGGGCGUAAAGGGCGCGUAGGUGGCGGCCCAAGUCCGUGGUGAAAGCUCGCCGCUUAACGGCGAGUCGGCCACGGAGACUGGGUGGCUCGAGCACUGUAGGGGCAGAUGGAAUUCCGGGUGUAGCGGUGGAAUGCGUAGAGAUCCGGAAGAACACCGGUGGCGAAGGCGGUCUGCUGGGCAGUUGCUGACACUGAGGCGCGAAAGCUAGGGGAGCAAACAGG